RNAcentral lists this ribosomal RNA (255 nucleotides) under uncultured bacterium. RNAcentral's name for it is "partial 16S ribosomal RNA". It matches the Rfam family "Bacterial small subunit ribosomal RNA", at positions 524 to 776 of the family's 1533-position model. The record is from RNAcentral.
UACGUAGGGGGCAAGCGUUGUCCGGAAUCAUUGGGCGUAAAGAGCGUGUAGGCGGCCCGGUAAGUCCGCUGUGAAAGUCGGGGGCUCAACCCUCGAAUGCCGGUGGAUACUGUCGGGCUAGAGUGCGGAAGAGGCGAGUGGAAUUCCUGGUGUAGCGGUGAAAUGCGCAGAUAUCAGGAGGAACACCGGUGGCGAAGGCGGGUCUCUGGGGCCGAUACUGACGCUGAGGUGCGAAAGCGUGGGGGAGCAAACAGG